Molecule: long non-coding RNA, 1548 nt
Organism: Gasterosteus aculeatus aculeatus (three-spined stickleback)
Lineage: Eukaryota; Metazoa; Chordata; Actinopteri; Perciformes; Gasterosteidae
Source: Ensembl
GGAAAGGGCAGAAAGGGAUGAGAGAAGAAAAGUUUUGGGAGACUUCUGCAGCAGUGGAGAAAUCUGACGCGUCAAAAGAAGGAGCAGAGAGGACAAAACCACCGACGUAAUAUCUGAUGUAAGCUUUACUUUCAAAUCCUGUUACAUUUAGACCUGGCAGGUUGAACAUAAAAUAAUGCCGAACAAAGAAAAACAAAUACAAAACCAAAAAAGUACAAAUGAUCUAUUUACCAGUUAUCGUCACAACCCUGUACAGCCUUAACAAUGGAGUAAUAAAAAAAAGCUUUGUACAGCACAUACCAAUCUUUACCGAGUGCCAAAGGAUAACACAGCCGAGCCUUUUCGGAUCCUAAAAUACAGCCAAACUUAAAGCUAAGUGAUUGUAGACGGUGCAGAGGGAUGCCAACCAAACGGGGGGGGGGGGGGGUGUUUUCAAAGAACUAGAGGGGGCAAUGGCAUGCGAAAUGUCAAGUGCUGAAAAGGUAGUCAAGCUUUAUAAAAAGAAUUAAAUAAAAGCUCACUGUGCUGCUCACCAUUGGGCAAAAUAAUCAAUAAGUGCUUCAGAAUAUUGGCUUUAGAAAGGAUAGAAACAUGUUGCCUUUUUAAACAUUACACUCCAAACAGGUGGGACAAAAAGAAGUGCAGCAGUUUAUGAUUAAGCUGUAAAACGGCGUUUUAAAAAGAUCGGACACAUUAUUAUUCUUUUUUAAUUCUUUUUGGACCCUGACAAUUAGUUUGACUCAUUCUCAGAAGUCUCAGGUGGUUUCUUUCCACCAAGUGGCACUAGAGUAUAAAAGAUGACGUAGAUAGUACAAGGGGGGUGUUCUUGUGUGUGUGUGUGUGUGUGGGUGUGUGUGUGUGUGUGAGAUGCUCCUUUCACUCCAGAGACGGCAUGCUGGACAUCGACAGAGCAAAACAGAACAAACAGUCGUGUUAAGAGGGACAAUCGAGGCAUCACUCAAGAACAGGAAGUGACGGAUUCAAUCCUAACAUCACAUCCGCGUUGCAUUUUGGUCUCGACAAUUCAUGAUCUCUUUUCUUCUGAUAUGAUUAAAGUAAAACAUUUUUUAAAAAGCAACAAGGAAAAUGGACAAAAGGAGAACAUAAAAAAGACAAUCCCUUAAAACAAUAAGAGAUUUGGGCUUGAAGACCACUUAAAAAAACAAAAGCACUAUAGAUAAGCUUUUCAAAAUAAAAUGCUUGUACUUUACUGCUCUGUCACGCAAAACAUACUUCUUUUUCUUUUGAAUGUUACAGAUAAAUAUUCUCUUAAUCAAAAAGUGCAGCACUGUGCAAAACUGGCUAUCACAAUUUAGCCUGGGACCUUUACUUCCCAGGGAGAACUUGACCUAAACUGGCUAAUUCAUGCAUUUGUUUUAAUUUACGCCCAUUUGCACUGCUAGAAAUGCUUACUUAAUGUGAAACUACGGCCGGAUGAUUGCUGACUUCAUUUACAGCAACUACCGUCCACUUCAACACAUCCAAGUUUGCGCUUAAAAAAAGAAAAGAAAAAGAAAAGGUUUAAGUGCUUUUGGCUUGAAGUGUAAC